GGCCUCGUUGCUCAGUUGACUAGAGCAUUGGUUGUUUUUAUGCCUUACCCUUGCUGACGUGGGUUCGAAUCCCACCGACGCCU
Molecule: transfer RNA, 83 nt
Filed under: Schistocephalus solidus
Lineage: Eukaryota; Metazoa; Platyhelminthes; Cestoda; Diphyllobothriidea; Diphyllobothriidae
Rfam family: tRNA
About the family: Transfer RNA (tRNA) molecules are approximately 80 nucleotides in length.
Source: Rfam by way of RNAcentral